Molecule: ribosomal RNA, 497 nt
Filed under: uncultured bacterium
Lineage: Bacteria
Description: partial 16S ribosomal RNA
Rfam family: Bacterial small subunit ribosomal RNA
Source: RNAcentral
GAUGAACGCUGGCGGCGUGCCUAAUACACGCAAGUCGAGCGAACGGACGAGAAGCUUGCUUUUCUGAUGUUAGCGGCGGACGGGUGAGUAACACGUGGAUAACCUACCUAUAAGACUGGGAUAACUUCGGGAAACCGGAGCUAAUACCGGAUAAUAUUUUGAACCGCAUGGUUCAAAAGUGAAAGACGGUCUUGCUGUCACUUAUAGAUGGAUCCGCGCUGCAUUAGCUAGUUGGUAAGGUAACGGCUUACCAAGGCAACGAUGCAUAGCCGACCUGAGAGGGUGAUCGGCCACACUGGAACUGAGACACGGUCCAGACUCCUACGGGAGGCAGCAGUAGGGAAUCUUCCGCAAUGGGCGAAAGCCUGACGGAGCAACGCCGCGUGAGUGAUGAAGGUCUUCGGAUCGUAAAACUCUGUUAUUAGAGAAGAACAUAUGUGUAAGUAACUGUGCACAUCUUGACGGUACCUAAUCAGAAAGCCACGGCUAACUACGUG